Molecule: non-coding RNA, 73 nt
Organism: Orcinus orca (killer whale)
Lineage: Eukaryota; Metazoa; Chordata; Mammalia; Artiodactyla; Delphinidae
Source: the annotation of a RefSeq genome assembly
GCCUUGAUGGCUCAGUUGGCAGAACAUCAGACUUUUAAUCUGAUGGCCCAGGGUUCAAGUCUCUGUUCAGGUA